This 828-nucleotide ribosomal RNA is filed under the name uncultured bacterium. RNAcentral's name for it is "partial 16S ribosomal RNA". The record is from RNAcentral.
UCAAGUCUCCCAACGGCUAGUAGACAUCGUUUACGGCGUGGACUACCAGGGUAUCUAAUCCUGUUGAUCCCCACGCUUUCGCACCUCAGCGUCAGUACUGAACCAGGAGGCCGCCUUCGCCACUGGUAUUCCUCCAUAUAUCUACGCAUUUCACCGCUACACAUGGAAUUCUACCUCCCUCUUUCAUACUCUAGUGUGCCAGUAUCAACUGCAGUUCCCAGGUUGAGCCCAGGGCUUUCACAGCUGACUUAACACACCGCCUACGCGCGCUUUACGCCCAGUAAUUCCGAUUAACGCUCGGACCCUCCGUAUUACCGCGGCUGCUGGCACGGAGUUAGCCGGUCCUUCUUCUAAAGGUAAUGUCAAGGCUGGCCGCUAUUAACGACCAACUUUUCUUCCCAAUUGAAAGUGCUUUACAACCCUAGGGCCUUCUUCACACACGCGGCAUGGCUGCGUCAGGCUUUCGCCCAUUGCGCAAUAUUCCCCACUGCUGCCUCCCGUAGGAGUCUGGGCCGUGUCUCAGUCCCAGUGUGGCUGAUCAUCCUCUCAGACCAGCUAAGGAUCGUCGCCUUGGUGAGCCUUUACCUCACCAACUAGCUAAUCCUACGCAGGCUCAUCUGAUAACGCGAGGCCCGAAGGUCCCCCGCUUUCCCCCGUAGGGCGUAUGCGGUAUUAGUUUGAGUUUCCCCAAGUUAUCCCCCAUUACCAGGUAGAUUCCUACGCUUUACUCACCCGUCCGCCGCUGUACUCAGUCCGAAGACCUUUCUCGCUCGACUUGCAUGUGUUAGGCCUGCCGCCAGCGUUCAAUCUGAGCCAGGAUCAAACUCU